RNAcentral lists this ribosomal RNA (257 nucleotides) under uncultured bacterium. RNAcentral describes it as "partial 16S ribosomal RNA". It matches the Rfam family "Bacterial small subunit ribosomal RNA", at positions 1231 to 1500 of the family's 1533-position model. The record is from RNAcentral.
UGGCAGGUACAGCGGGAAGCCACCUGGCGACAGGAGCGGACCGAAAGCCUGUCUCAGUUCGGAUUGGAGUCUGNAACCCGACUCCAUGAAGCUGGAUUCGCUAGUAAUCGCGCAUCAGCCACGGCGCGGUGAAUACGUUCCCGGGCCUUGUACACACCGCCCGUCAAGCCAUGGAAGUUGGGGGCGCCCGAAGUUGGUCGAGGAAUAGAUUACCUAAGGCGAAACCAAUGACUGGGGUGAAGUCGUAACAAGGUACC